Molecule: transfer RNA, 72 nt
Filed under: Streptomyces phage SparkleGoddess
Lineage: Duplodnaviria; Heunggongvirae; Uroviricota; Caudoviricetes; Stanwilliamsviridae
Also listed under: 3 other names
Description: tRNA-Trp
Rfam family: tRNA
About the family: Transfer RNA (tRNA) molecules are approximately 80 nucleotides in length. Their secondary structure includes four short double-helical elements and three loops (D, anti-codon, and T loops).
Source: RNAcentral
GCGUCCGUAGUGUAGUGGUAGCACACGAGCUUCCAAACCUCUUAGUCCGAGUUCGAUUCUUGGCGGGCGUGC